CAGUCGCCACGGUAAUACGUAGGUGGCAAGCGUUAUCCGGAAUUAUUGGGCGUAAAGCGCGCGUAGGCGGUUUUUUAAGUCUGAUGUGAAAGCCCACGGCUCAACCGUGGAGGGUCAUUGGAAACUGGAAAACUUGAGUGCAGAAGAGGAAAGUGGAAUUCCAUGUGUAGCGGUGAAAUGCGCAGAGAUAUGGAGGAACACCAGUGGCGAAGGCGACUUUCUGGUCUGUAACUGACGCUGAUGUGCGAAAGCGUGGGGAUCAAACAGGAUUAGAGACCCCUGUAGUCCCUGUCUCUUAUAC
Molecule: ribosomal RNA, 301 nt
Filed under: uncultured bacterium
Lineage: Bacteria
Description: partial 16S ribosomal RNA
Rfam family: Bacterial small subunit ribosomal RNA
Source: RNAcentral